CUUUCUUAUGCCUGUGUUUCUUCCUCCUCCUCCUCCUUCUCAUCUGUUUGUUUUAGUUCUUCCUCCUCUGCUGUCUUCUGCUUGUCCUUCCUCCUCCUCUUCCUGUCUCAUUACUUUUGGCUAGCAUAUAAUUAUAAGUUACUAUUUCUGGCUAUUAUUAUUAUUAUUGCUAUUAUUUGUUGUUACUAGCAUUACUAUUACUGGUUAUUAUUACUGUGAUGUCUUCACCGUUGAAAAAUAUGUUAAUUAAUAAGUUUAGCUCGGCCGUUAUGUCUCGUCUCAGUGUUACGUCAAAAGGUCAAUACUAGCAGCCAUAGGUUAGUUUACAGGUAGAGUAAUACUAGUGGUCAUAGGUUAGUUUACAGGUAGGUUGAUACUAGUGGUCAUAGGUUAGUUUACAGAUAGGUUGAUAGCAGUGGUCAUAGGUUAGUUUACAGGUAGGUUGAUAGCAGUGGUCAUAGGUUAGUUUACAGAUAGGUUGAUAGCAGUGGUCAUAGGUUAGUUUACAGAUAGGUUGAUAGCAGUGGUCAUAGGUUAGUUUACAGGUAGGUUGAUACUAGUGGUCAUAGGUUAGUUUACAGAUAGGUUGAUAGCAGUGGUCAUAGGUUAGUUUACAGGUAGGUUGAUACUAGUGGUCAUAGGUUAGUUUACAGGUAGGUUGAUAGCAGUGGUCAAAGGUUAGUUUACAGAUAGGUUGAUAGUGUUGGCCGAAAGUUAGUUUACAGAAAGUUGUUAGUUCUACAUUCAAUCCCUUAGGUGCACCCCCCCUCCCCCUUGGUCCAUGCCUGAGCGUGUGACAGCCACACUUAACCCAAAUCUGCUUCACGGAACAUUUCCUUUAUAUAUAUAUUUUUUUUAGUUUGAGUGCUUCGAUGCCUCAUAUUUUGUGCAAGUGAAUAAUGACUAUAACAUGACCAUGAAAAUUGGGUCAAGAUUGGUAAUAGUAAUGCACCUAUACUUUAUUUCUUUUGUAACCAAUUGCUCCUCCGUUGUCAUAUAUAUUUAUAAUAACCUUAAAACUUCCUGGGAAACUAUACGGAACAGUGUAGAGUGUAAGAAUAGCCAUGAAAUGUGUGGGGGAAACUGCACAGCCAUGGACGGCAGAGUAGCCCACACCAUUGUUCAGCAGCCACAACCCGCAGCUUGCCACAGUUUUAAUACAUGAGGAGUGUUCACGCUCUUACUAAAAGGGGGCUCUACCUUCCUCAACCCCCCUUGUGGUCACUAAAAUGACUGGUGAAUUCAUAUCGUCACCUUCGUAAAGAAACCGCUUGUCAUUAUUUUCUACUUUUCAGGAAAUCAGAAAAGAACUGUCAUCAUCUCAUUUGGCUUAAGAUUUAGGCAGAAAUGAAGAGGCCAAUUCUAGAACACUCAAACCCUGAAUAAUGAAGUCAACUAUACAAAAAUGGGCAUCGUGUUGAAAAAUUGAUAUAAACAAAAAUCUGGAAAUCACAAAAAAAUGACUUAGGCAAUUAUUUUAUGAGGGUGACGAUAUUUAACCUCCUGACAGGGUGUUCUACCCCCCCUCAAUCCCCUGUGCUUCCACAUUUCAUUGCAUUAGCCAUGUUGUGGUUAUUAUUCAUUUGCACAAAAAAUGAAGCAUCAAGGCACUCAGAUGGACUACAAAGGCUAUCAAAUGGAAGAAAAAAUAGGAAGCUGCAAAAAAUGAAAUGAAUGACCCUACGAGUAUGUCCCCGAGUGUGUCUAAGCAUAGGCGAAGAUGUCACCUGUCAACCCUCCCCCUGUCCCUUGAGUCAGUCACCCGGCCGUGGAGAGUUUGAUAAAAUGCUACACCCAAUGAGUUGAUUUAAUGAUGAGUCUUUGACAGUUUUCUCAGUGUAUCCGUGUGUGAGAAUUAAUGAUGCUUUAAAGAGUUUGAGGGUGUAUAUUUUUAUUAUGUCCUACUUGGAUAAUUAUAUAGUAAGCUAGAGUGUAGUUAACCUGAUUGCAGGGACGGGCCAAAUUUGUGGCUUUACCGUGUACCAGCGAUGGGCCAAAUUUGUGGCUUUACCGUGUACCAGCGAUGGGCCAAAUUUGUGGCUUUACCGUGUACCAGCGAUGGGCCAAAUUUGUGGCUUUACCGUGUACCAGCGACGGGCCAAAUUUGUGGCUUUACCGUGUACCAGCGAUGGGCCAAAUUUUUGCCAUGAUAUAAACCCCCCAAAAUAGAUGAUGCAUAAACUCAUAACAAAUGCGUCGAUAUAUAUUAUGAAAUGGUUUAUGUGAGUGAUGAUUUUUUCUCAUUUUUCACACUUAGAGGGGCUUAAGAAACAUGAUCCCCGCAGCUACAGGGUUAAGGAGGAGAAAUUAUCAUUAUAUAUAGUAGGUCAUGGAUAGCUUAUGGUAAUGGCAGAAAACUAAAUAUAGAGAAAAAUGAUGAUAACCGAGAAAGGGAGAGUUAGGAGUUAGAACUUAGUGUUAAAAUGAUGUGAUCUUAUGUGGUAUUGAUUUUUAUCUUUACCUGUCAUGAUGAUUAACUCUCUCUCUCUCUCUCUCUCUCUCUCUCUCUCUCUCUCUCUCUCGCGCUCUCUUUUUCUCUCCAACACAUUCUUUCCUCACCUAUCACUCCCUUUCUCUCUUAAUGCUCCCUUCUAUUUUCCUUCCCCCUCUCCCCAUCUCUCUCUCUCCCUUAUUUCUCUCCUACACAUUCUUUCCUCACCUUUCACUCCUCCUCCCUUCCCAACACUCCCUCACUCUUUCCCUCCUAUCUUCCCCUUUCUACCUU
Eriocheir sinensis (Chinese mitten crab) is the source of this 2725-nucleotide long non-coding RNA. RefSeq lists it as uncharacterized. NCBI's taxonomy places the organism in Eukaryota, Metazoa, Arthropoda, Malacostraca, Decapoda, Varunidae. The transcript is spliced from 3 exons. The record is from RefSeq and is a predicted model, not a curated record.